Molecule: transfer RNA, 78 nt
Filed under: Bathyarchaeum sp. (SeqCode)
Lineage: Archaea; Thermoproteati; Candidatus Bathyarchaeota; Bathyarchaeia (SeqCode); Bathyarchaeales (SeqCode); Bathyarchaeaceae (SeqCode)
Also listed under: 1 other name
Description: Candidatus Bathyarchaeum sp. tRNA-Glu
Rfam family: tRNA
About the family: Transfer RNA (tRNA) molecules are approximately 80 nucleotides in length. Their secondary structure includes four short double-helical elements and three loops (D, anti-codon, and T loops). Further hydrogen bonds mediate the characteristic L-shaped molecular structure. tRNAs have two regions of fundamental functional importance: the anti-codon, which is responsible for specific mRNA codon recognition, and the 3' end, to which the tRNAs corresponding amino acid is attached (by aminoacyl-tRNA synthetases). tRNAs cope with the degeneracy of the genetic code in two manners: having more than one tRNA (with a specific anti-codon) for a particular amino acid; and 'wobble' base-pairing, i.e. permitting non-standard base-pairing at the 3rd anti-codon position.
Source: RNAcentral
GCUCCGGUAGUAUAGUCCGGUUAAGUAUGGUGGCCUCUCGAGUCAUCGACCCGGGUUCGAAUCCCGGCCGGAGCACCA